Molecule: long non-coding RNA, 4258 nt
Filed under: Toxoplasma gondii VEG
Lineage: Eukaryota; Apicomplexa; Conoidasida; Eucoccidiorida; Sarcocystidae
Source: RNAcentral
CUCCAGGAAUCUGCCGAGAUAAAAGAGAUAGAGAGGAGAGCACUCGACAUGAGACUACGAAUUCAGAGAGGUGGAAACACCAGCAGGAUACCAAAUAUCGACUCGAAUAAAAGACAUGAGUCGAACAACGGGUGUUCAACCUGUAAUUCUCUCUUGUGUGGAGAGCUCUCUCCACUCGCUCCCGGUCGUCGGAGUGGCGAAGCCUUUUCGGCGCCAUCGAGAGAGCCAACCGUCCCACCCUGGGAGGCCAAAUGGCGUUCAAAGUUCAGAUUGUUUUUUCGCGAACGCGUGACUGCAUCGAGAGACGUACCGAGUCGCAAAGGUGCGUGGCGGGGACGGCUUUCUGGGCGACGCAUACCCACUCCUUGGCUUUCUUGUCUUUUUCUCUUCCGAAUCCGACAGGACAGACGAACUGGACUUCGGCGUACUCCAGACGCUCGCAGAAGCCGGCCUGGACGCGGGGCAGUGGCGGGCCGACGACGACGGGGGAGGGAGUGUCUCCUUUUCGCGAGCCGAGGUGUGGAGCGACGACCUCUUUCGCGCUCUGGGCCGGCAACUCGUGCUCAGGUAAACGAUAUCCCGUUGGACAAGUCCACCCAGGGGCCUCCUUCACCGUCGUCACGCACCGGCUUGUUGCCGCGUGUAGAUCAAAGCCUUCGCUGCAGAGCGCGACACUCGGCUCGAACUCUUCGCGCAGGCAACGCAUGAACGGCUGCUCUUCCGCGCCCGCAAAGGAGGCAGAAGGCGCAGAGCCGUCGGCGCAGACCACGGAGACCGGCUCCACCUCCACCUGGGGGCAACGCGACACGGUGGACGGACAGGAGGCGAACGUCACAACGCAGAGGGGUUCGCGGUUCCAUCUGGGGGACGGCUCGACGGUAGGCAGACACAAGUCGAUGGAGAUACACCAAAUGCGGGGAAGGAAAGUGCAUGAAAAGAAGAACGGCAGACAACUGGGAGGGGCCAGAAAGCAGGAGGUGGGCGCAGAGGAGGCACAAGCGCCACACUGAGAUGGCGUCGACGCCCGUCCCGGUGCUGAAGAGUUCAGACCUCGCACAGGGGAGGCACGCAUGAGGCGGGUGAAAGCGUGGAGAGACUGUGCACAGAGAGAGAGACGCAAAAACAAUCUGGAGAGAGACUAACUGACACGGAUGCACAGUGCUCGAUGGGGAUGUGCGUGCAGAGUGGCAUGCCAUGCAAAUACUUCAGAAACGAAAGGACAACUCAGUUCUCGAGAGAACCGGGGGCUGAGUUCUGUGGGCAGCGUCAACGCGAACUAUGUGGAAUUUCCUGCGAAAGCGAACACGCAGUCUCGAGGGUUCCUAGAUCCAGUAUGGAUGCGCACCUGUCGAAUCGCAUGCACUUUCAAAAGCGAGGAAAAAACUCAUGCACUGUGUGAACUGUGGUUUCUUCGUGUGUCGUCGAGAAAAAACAGUCACGGUUCGUUCAGCAGGGAAAAAAACGACGAGACAGAUGUUCGCAUGGUCAAGUCCGUCGUCUUGGCAGGGCCUGCCUCUGAUGGAGGCCAGCUCCCUGGGUGCAGGUCGGCUGCGAUAUCCUAGGAUAUCGAAGUCUCGCCACAGCGGUCAUGUUCUACGCAUGGCACUUCGCUUCCUGUUGUCACUCGUAACUUCCCAGCGAGAGAAGCCGCCGACUCCGUCGCGCGUAGGAUCAGGUGCUUCGUCCUAGGACUGAAAGCGUCUCUGCAGCUCGAGCCUACCUGUUCACAUCGAGAUGUGACAAAUGCGUCGUCUGCAACGCGACCAGAAGGGCAUAUGAGCGUAGGUUUUUUCGUCCUGACUUCCACGCAUUCCUUUUCAGAGACGUCCGCCUUUGCCCACCCUCGAGGUGACGCUCCACCCUUCUGCGAGCACGGACCCGGCACUAGGGUGGGCGCGACGACGAUGCGUUGUCUGCAGACAAGGCCUGCUGAUGUCUCCUGGGCAAAGAACGUGGACGAAGUCGAAGAGGUCGCCGGUUCUUCGUUGGCCAGUCGAGCCUUUGCAUUUGGAGAGGUAGACGUCGCCGUGUGUGGAGGCUUGGAAGAAGCUUCCAGACGCCGAGAGCGCGGCGAAGGCAACCGAGGAAGCCGGUGAAGCCCGAGAGAUGCUCGCUGCGUGAGAGCCGCCGUCUUCGCGGAGCCGCCACUGGAGGCAGUCGCUGUCGCACGAAAAGGCGCGGAUCCGUUUGGGGACGGCGCCGCGCGAUUCUCGGAGUCUUUGAGGUCUUUUUGAGGAUGCUUUUCUCCCCGGCCUGCAGUCGGCAGGUGGCUUGCCAAGUGCGAAUCGAGACGCGUGGUCGACGGGGCUCUUUGCUCUUGCGUUUCUCUUGCCUUUUCGCGUCGACCGUUAUUGGAAGGAUCCUUCGUCCCGGGUGGGCCUGUCGCCAGCAGGCGUCUGUCUGCCUCUCCUGUGUCGCUGCCAUCCCCAGGUCGCCCCCCUCGGCGCAGACUCAGGUCUCCAGACGCGCCAGGCGGCGCUCGCUUUUUUCCAUUCUCUGACGGCUUUGCUUCACCCCUUCGAUCAACAGCCUGGCCUUCGUCAGCCGCUAGCGUUCCGCCCUCUGGCGGUGCAAGGACCUCUCCGGUAUCUUCUCGCUUCGCUUUUCUCUCACGUUUUUCUCGGUCCUCGCGCUCGUCGUCGAGGGCCUGAGCCCCAGCGCUCCGGCCCAGAGCGCUCAGCGGUCGGCGAAGGUUCAACAUCUUCAGGCGCGAAGGCGACGUCGAACUAGGGAUCGGUUCCUCGACAGAAGACAAGACAUCUGGUGGAGGGGAAGGAAAAGAAGAAGAAGCAAAAACAGCAGAAAGGUCCUCGUCAGCGGGGACAUCUGUGGGGGUAACGUGUGGUUUCCGAGUCUGCCCUUGGUCACGUUCGGGGGCCUGGGAGAAGCGGCGCUCCUCAUUCAAGACAUGGAAGAGCGAGUCGCGGACCUCCAGGGAAAGAGGAGAGGGGAAAGAGUGAACUCUUGGACUUUCAUCGUCCUGCCGUGAGGCGUCGUGGUCGGUUGAAAUGUCUAGGCGUCCUUCUUCUAAAGCGAGGAGCGAGAUCAACUCUCCGUGUUCGCAGCCCAUUUGUGGGGACUGAGUUUCCACCGUCGCGCACUGCGCGGCCUUGGCUGGGUCUGCGACCCUCGGGGCUUCUGCUCCUGCCUGGGGACUCCCAGGACCUUUGGAGCGUCGGUCGAAGAACGGAGUUUCUUGCAGCGCCCGCACAGCCGCAUCCCACAGUCGGCCCCUGGCGACAGCGCCGGAGGCAAAAAUCCCGGUUACCGAGUCCUCUUCUUCACUUCUCUCGCUUUUUUCUGGCCACAGGUGCUGCGGUCUCUCGCCCUGCUUCCCCGCUUCUAGCUGGGGCCGUAGGUGCCCGUCCAUGUCUCCGUCUGGACAGAGGUAGGUGGGCUCCUCCUCCAGUGUGCAUUUUCCAGUUUCCUUGAUGAAUUUCCAGCCUUCUCGACACACAGGCGUCGCCGCAUGCGCUCUCACGCGACGGCACAUGUCGUCCCAGCGAUUGUAGACGAAUUCUUGGGGGCAGACAGGCUGCGGAUCUGCGAGUUUCUCCAGCACACAGGAAUCGCCUACAAGGUGGUAGUCCGCCUCGGGGCACACUCGAGCAGGCGGUGGGCUCCAAAAGGAAACGCAGGUCAACAAUCCCGUUUCCGGAUCAGGUGACAGGUCCCAGCCUUCCUCGCAAAAGGGGACGGGGUCGACAAAGAGCCGGCGCUCACACUGGUGAGCGGUCUGCAGGCGCAGAAACGAAACACAGGAACGGAUCGUGUCGAGGUUGAAACGUGGAACGCGUGAGCCCGCAGCAGAAAGGAACGCGACAGCCAAACCGCACACCGACUUGUUGAUGACGUGGUGAGGUUCCGCGAAGACUCGGUUCGGUCGCAGAAUCGAUGGGGAGGCAAACCUGCGCCGCUUGUCAUGUAGCGAAGCAUCACGAUUCAGAUCAUCCUGCCGUCCGUACACAGGGGACAGUCCCACCAGAAGCGGUCAUGGAUAGACGUGCUUUGCGCAAUUGAGUUGAGUGCAGACAGAGUUGCGAAGGUCGCUGAAGAGGCGACGCCCUAAAAGUCGAUAGAGUGUUCACCGGAAAAGUUGGAAACAACUGACCUCGUUGAGCUCGAAGCCUGGCGGACAAGACACGGUUGGCUCUUCCUCACUGUGUUUGAUACAGAGGCCGAGAGAGGAAUCGAAUACGCCUUCUUUGCAUGUGAAAAGAGGCUCUUCCUCGGUCAGUUUAACGCACUCCGACUCGGA